Molecule: transfer RNA, 72 nt
Filed under: Strongylocentrotus purpuratus (purple sea urchin)
Lineage: Eukaryota; Metazoa; Echinodermata; Echinoidea; Camarodonta; Strongylocentrotidae
Rfam family: tRNA
About the family: Transfer RNA (tRNA) molecules are approximately 80 nucleotides in length. Their secondary structure includes four short double-helical elements and three loops (D, anti-codon, and T loops).
Source: Rfam by way of RNAcentral
GUCUCUGUUGUCUAGUUGUUGAGGCAUUGGCGUUCUAAGCCAUUGACUCAGGUUCGAUUCCCGGUGGAGAUA